UGCCAAGCCAAGUUCAUAGGACACAAAUGAGACAAACAAGAAGGCAACAGCUGUCCCUGGGAGAGAAAGGAUUGAUAACUGAUGUUUUUUUCCUGCCAAUCUGAAUUUGGAAAAGAAGGGACAGCGUGGAAUUUUACCGUCCUUUCUUGACCAGGCACCACAGACAGAGAGCUGGGAGAGCUGAUUCUGCUAAGAAUUCUUACCCUUAGCUGGCUUCUGCCAACUUUCCUAUGAGCCGUCUGCACUCUCCAGAGUGAACGAACUGUCCCAGCAGGUCUCACCCUGGUCACCAGAAACCGUAGAGGGGAAAAAAUAAUUUUCCCUCUAGCCUUUAUAGCGAAUGCCUGGCUGAGACCUCUUUUUCUCUACGGCGCCUCGAAAACGGAUGAGCUUAUCUGAGAUGGUUAAAAGUUCUCCACAGUGGCCACUGUAAUUCAAGAUUAUUUUUGUUGCAGUGUUCUCUGCUCUGCAAGAAAAUCUGAGUUGGCGUUUCUGAUUCUGGCAUGUGGCAAGGAGGACCCGAACUGCAAAGCUCUGUCCUGUCUGACUGUGUUCCAGAGUGGACAGUGUGAAGUGCAAGAGGAACAUGGAACUCAGUAGUUGCCUCCUGUCUAAAACGAGUGUCCAGUUGGAAUCUCAGCUUUGGAUUCUGUCUCCAGGCUCUGGAGUGAAUGGCGUGUCCCAGCGGGUCUCAUCCUGGUCACCAGAAACUGUCAAGGAGGAAAAAUAAUUCUCCCUUUUGCCUUUGUUGGUGAGUGCUUAGCUGAGACAGCUUUUGCUCUAGGGAACCUUGUCAAUGGGUAAGUUUAUCUAGGUGAAAAGUUCUCCACUGUGGCUACCGUAAUUCAGGAUUC
This 854-nucleotide long non-coding RNA is filed under the name Zalophus californianus (California sea lion). RNAcentral's name for it is "lncRNA (ENSZCAG00015003371.1)". The record is from RNAcentral. Lineage: Eukaryota; Metazoa; Chordata; Mammalia; Carnivora; Otariidae.